AGGUACCCCUUUGCUAUAUGCAACAUUUGGAGUCUGUUUUGCAAUUAUCGCUGGGUUGUGCAUAUUAACUUACCGAAACUAUAAAAAGCAAUUUAGAUAUGAAAGGCAACUGCAUAUGAUACAAAUGGUUGGUUCUUCCAACAAUGAAUACAUCUACAUAGAUUUCAGUGAGUUGGAGUAUGAUGUCCAGUGGGAGUUUCCCCGAGAAAAUCUGAAAUUUGGGCAAGUACUGGGCUCUGGUGCCUUUGGAAAAGUCGUGAAUGCUACUGCAUAUGGAAUUAGUGAAGCUGGAGCCUCCAUCCAAGUUGCCGUCAAAAUGC
This is a non-coding RNA of Thamnophis sirtalis, 320 nucleotides long. Lineage: Eukaryota; Metazoa; Chordata; Lepidosauria; Squamata; Natricidae. The record is from RefSeq and is a predicted model, not a curated record.